UGUACAGAUGUAUACAAAAUCGCGAGUGUAUAUUUGUUCGGCUUUCUAUUUUAUUUUACAAUACUUUUUUGGCACACGUGACCUUCCAUAGAUGGUCCUCCCUUCCUGCGCCCCGUUUUCUCCCACAGAGUGAGACCUCCUGCUCGCUGCUCCUGUCUCUGCAGCUGUAGUCGCUUCAGUUCCUGGACACCUCACAUAUUACACGAAGUAUUCUUCUCCUCCUGAUGAUCCCGGUGGGUCCUCCGGUUGUUCCUCCGCAGCCUCUUCUCUCCUCCAGCCCAGUAUUUGUCGGACGGCCCCGGCGCUUUAGGCCGCGCAGUACGCCGGAGAACGGGAGCUCCGGUGGGGUCUAAACUGAGAGCGUGGCUAGCUGGUGGGCUAGCGGAGUGUUAGCCGAGCAGGCAGCGGUGUAAAGGCUCGGUUCGUAGGGCAGCAAAGUUAGCGCAGCAUGGCCGUGGGGAACCUCAGCAAGACGGGAGAGGAGAAGACAGCGAGCCGCGGUCAGAGUGAAGUUAACAGACGGUUGAAGUACAUCAGCCUGGCCGUGCUCGUGGUCCAGAAUGCAUCGCUCAUCCUCAGCAUCCGGUACGUCCGCACGUUGCCAGGCGACCGCUUCUUCACCACGUCGGCCGUGGUGAUGGCGGAGGUCCUGAAGGUCCUGACGUGUCUGGUCAUCAUCCUACUGCAGAAGAGAUUAAACGUGAAGGAGAUGGUGUACUUCCUGAUUGACGUCAUCGUGGUUCAGUACAAAGACACUCUGAAGCUCGCCGUUCCUUCUCUCAUCUACACUCUGCAGAACAACCUGCAGUACGUGGCCAUCUCCAACCUGCCGGCCGCCACCUUCCAGGUGACAUACCAGCUGAAGAUCCUCACCACGGCUCUGUUCAGCGUGCUUAUGCUCAGGAAGUCUCUGUCCAGAGUUCAGUGGAUUUCUCUGCUGCUGCUGUUUGCUGGAGUCGCCAUCGUGCAGGUGCAGCAGGAGGGCAACAAAGAGGCGUCGGUGAAGGACACCUCCAAUCAGAACUACACCGUCGGCUUGGUUGCCGUGGUGAUCAGCUGCUUGUCGUCGGGAUUUGCCGGCGUAUACUUUGAGAAGAUCCUGAAGGGCAGCUCCGCCUCCGUGUGGGUGAGGAACGUGCAGCUGGGGAUCUUCGGCACAGCGCUCGGGCUGCUGGGACUUUGGUGGAAUGACGGCGCCGCCGUUGCCGAGCGCGGCUUCCUGUUCGGCUACACCAGCAUGGUGUGGUGCGUCAUCUUCAACCAGGCGUUCGGCGGGCUGCUGGUGGCCGUGGUGGUGAAGUACGCCGACAACAUCCUCAAGGGCUUCGCCACCUCCUUCUCCAUCAUCGUCUCCACAGUGACAUCCAUCUACCUGUUCGGCUUCCACGUGGACAUACUCUUCACUGCGGGGGCGGGGCUUGUCAUCGGCGCAGUCUACAUGUACAGCCUCCCCAAAGCGCCCGGCAGCUCGGCAUCCCCGAGCUCCUCCUCCUCCUCGUCUUCCUCGUCCGAGAAGACGGACAGAGACGCCGAGAUGGAGGCGUUUCUGCCAAAGUCAGUGCUGGUGAAGUGAUUCCUGUUUCUCUCUGCUCUCUCUCUCUUUCGGGCAUCUCACUUCCUGUGUGCUCUUGGUGGGGUCAGAGGUCAAACUGGGCAUCUAUCAGAAAGAAAGAGGUUCAUCUGCUGCUCGCUCACCUGCUUCCUCACCCCUCUGACGGCCUCCCGAAUCAUCCUCCUCCUGACGUCCUGCUCGCCUUUUCCACACCUCCUCCUGCGCUCAGCCCUCCCUCCUGGCCUCCUUCUUUCCUUCACCUCCUAACUUCCUCGUCUCAUUGGACUAUAGGAUACUGCACUUUCUUCUCCUCCUCCUUUCUCCUUUCUCUGCACCCCUGAACAAAAAACACACACCUCCUUGCUUCCUUUCUCCUCCUCCAGUAAUGUAAAGGAGGAGAAGAUGGCCUCCUCAGACCUAAAAACUAAACCACAUGCAUUGUGAUGCAGAGGAGAGCUGCUCCCUCCUGUAACGUCCUCCUUUUUGGAGGAUGAGAGGAGCUCAGGGAGGCGUGUCUCCUCCCUCUGCUGUCCACAUCACAACCUAACUGCUCAAAGCACAACGGCAGCAAGAGGAAGAGAAGGAGGAGGAUGAGGAAGGAGCAGCAGAGUGUCAGAAACCCUCACCACCCUCAGUCUGUUUUCUCCUCUGCGGCGUCUCGCCGGCUCUGCCUUAAAACUCUUUAGUAAAUGAAAAGAGAACCGCCUUACGCUGAAUAUCGAUCAUAUGUUGAUUAUUGUUGUUGCUGGUGGAGGACAACGGCAACCGUAGCCUGAUCGAAAGUUUUCACUGUGCAGCCCCCGUACAUUUAAAUUCCACCUUAAAACAGGAAAAAGGGACAGUUUCUAUGGCAGCCCAAAGUGUUCAAGCAAAAAUGUAACUUUGAAUAAGUUCUUUACAUGUUUGUAUACAAAAUUUACACAGAAGUAAAGUAGCUUGAAGUGAUGUAAGAACUUUUCAAAUUGAAAGCACAUUUUUAACCUAAAGGAAGUUCAGUGUAAAUUACAAGAAUUUAAAAUAAAAACGCAGCAUUUGUAAAUAAAAGUCACAUAAAUCGAAGCAGAAUCAGAAAGUGACAUUUAGAAAGAUGAAGUGAUAAAAGUGUCAUUAUGAAAUGCAUUUUUCCCUCAAGGAAGACAAAACCACAACAUUUAAUUAAAUCCAGUCAAAAGGUAAAUUAAAAAAUCAACAUUUUGAAACUUGAAAGUUAUUUAGUCUUAUUCUAUUUUUCUGCAAUAAUCAGAAAUGAACUAAAGUCAUUUAUCUGGGCUGUAAUGAGUUUUUGGCUCAUUUGUAGUCGUCUUCACGGCAGCUGGUAUGUUGACUGUUCUUGACUAAAAAAGCUAAAUAUGUGGAGAAAACAUAGUAAUAAUGACUAAAACCAUAAAUAACUCUUUGCUUUUGUUCAGACCUUCCUUUUUUGUCUCUAAUUCUGAAGUUCUCUCAGAAGUCUGCUUCCUGUUUGCCGUCGUUGUUGCCCGUUUACUUUUCUCGGCUGCACAGUGAAAACCUCCGGGGUAAAUCGUUGCUCCUCCGGGUGCGUCUCCGCUGAGGGACUGUUUGUGUUGGUGCCUUUUCUCCUCAUCUGUACAGAAGCCAUACGACUGUGUUGGUGUAAAGUUUGCAGUGUACAGUUACGGGACUCUCCGGGAGGCUUUGCUUUAUCUGCAGCUCCCGUGUCGGCGGGAGCGGGGAAUGUGCUCGUUGAUUGGAGCACCUUUAAACUACGAUCAUAGCGUGAUGUUUGUUUGUUUUUGCCAAAAUGUCCUGCCGCAGGCGUCUUGUUGAAGAAGGCGUCCUGCGGUGGCGUCCUGAAUGUUUUUUCUGCUCCUCCUGUUUGUCUCGAUCACGUCGAGGCAGUCGUGGAUUUUUAUUUUUGUGUGUGUGUCCGAGCUGCUUCUCGGUGUUUACGUUGUUCAGCUUUGGGAGGAGAGGUUGAGUCGUUUUGGUCUCCUGAUCUCUGCAGCAGGUUAAGAUUCUGUGAUUACAGUAAGUUUUGUUUUUCCUCACAUCCACCACCGUCACCGUGUAGCAGUUUGCCCCUGUUGUUGUUUAUUUAAAUCCUGCCAGCACUUGAUUUAACCCCGUCUCUUCACGCUGGCCUGUUUGAGCCCCCGAUUGGACUGAUUGAUCUGUUAACACUCUGUUAUAAGCCAAUUACAUUAGCCAUCAAAGCACCUGUGUGGAUGGUUUAAAGUUGGAGUAAAGAAAAAGCUCUAAAUUAAAAAGGAGCUGGAAGGAAAGCUGGCUGUGUGCAGAUAAAAUGCUCCAUCUUUAAUGUUUUUAUACAGGCACAGCAUUUACUGAACUACAUUUCAUUUAAAGCAGUUUACAGGUUAUUAUUGAAAAUAUAAAUCUACUAAUAAAUCUUGUCGAUUAAGCAGCUUAGCAUAAGUUUCCGUGUGAAGUGAGAUGGUCUGCACUUCAGGCUCUUGUCACCACAGCACUGUAACUACAGCUCGUGACAAACCAAACUGCAGGAACUGUUACUGCUGCUUGUAUGAAGCACUAUAACUGUUUCAGGCUUCAUAAUACACUAUACAUAUAUGCAGUGGGAUCUGGUUAUGGAUGGAGAUGAUUGAAGGCCGCUGCUCUCACGAGUCAGCACUGAAGUCAUGUUAACACCACCCACCACUACUUUGGGCUGCAGCAGCGCCCCAUCGCUCUCUGUGCAGCAGGAAGUGGAUAAAAAGGGGAAAGGGAGAUGGAUGCUAGCAGGCAUCUGUCAUGCUCGGCUGUGUCAGAGUAAACACGUAUAACCAAAUAAACUGCGUGACAGGCCUGUGGAUGCUAACCUGCCUGAGGGGAAGGUGCACUCUGCACAUUAAUCUGGCUUCGUGUGCGUGUGUGCGUGUGUGGCGUUAAAGUGCCACACAUAAGGGGCGAAUGUAAGUGCGUCUUAGAUUCGUUGUGCGUUCCUCACAGCAGCUCUGCAGAUCUGUACAAGCUUCUUACUUAAAAAGAGUUGGGGGUUUUUUUUUCCCCUGUAGAAUAUUUUUCUUGAAAAUGUUGCCAGUUUGGACUAAAGAAGUAGUUCGAGUUCUCCUCACUUACAGUUAAACCACUCAUCUGUAGUGAUGACAAACCCUCAAAUACAAGUUCACUAACUGAACUUCUGAUAGAUGUUUUUAUUGUGUCAGGAAAAAAACCCUAAAUUAAACCUAAAGUGGGAUAAAUGUAGCUCACAGUUUAACAUUUAGAUUUAGUCUCUUUAUUUCAUGAGUUUGUGUAAAAACUCGCCCGGUGAUCAAGAAACUGACCUGAGGACGGAGAAACAAGGAGACACAAACAUGAAGCAAAAUCUCCCAAAGCAUAAAAAUGAACAUUUUUUCUGAUUUCUUAUCAUAAUGAUUGAAGGCUCUUUUUCUGUUUUCAGUGUGAGAUUAUCGAAAUCAAACUGUGAAGGGACAAAAAAUGUUACGUUUAUUUUCAGUUUUUGUAAAACAAGCAAACAAAAAACCUCCAGCUGACACUUUCUCUCUGGAAGUCUGAAACGAAUAUCUAUGAUAAAUAAUAAUAUAUAAGCUGUUUUUAUUUAAUGUGGGAAUCUUUGGGGUGGUGGUGAAUGAAAGGAAGAGGAAACCCAGCAGGAAGCUUCAGAUCUCAGCCAGAAGAAGCUUUUUGUUCGAAACUCUUCUUAUGGUAAUGACAUGAAUUUCUUGAGAAAAUGAGUCCUUUGAGUUCUGUGCGGCUAAUAAAGGAUCGUUUCUGCACUUAGUAAAUGUUAUGAAUUUUAAAUUGUAGAUGAUCAUUUUAAUCUCAAUCUGACAUUAAAAUGUCCUUAUGUAGACAUAACAGCUGAUUUAUAUCACAGGAAUUAUGAUGGGAUGUUUAUUUUUCAUUAAACAUCACAUCAUAAACUUUACAUCUUUUUUUUCAUCAAAGUUUUCUAAUGAAAAUAUAAAAUUUAAUCCCAAUUUUCUCUCUUGCAGUGGCUUUUUUCACCUUUUUAGAAUAACACAACAGAACCUUUUUUCAGACUUUAUUCUUCUUUAUUCCCUCGAGGUAGAAACGAUGAUAAACAUCUACCUCUGCUCUGUAAAUAAUCCUGUCACAACUUACAGAUUCAUAGAAAAAUAACUUGUCGUUUGUUCCUCUUUACGUUUACUUUACCUUAUUUUUCUCUACAUAAAAACUAAAAUAUUGCAAAUUAUAUUAAAUUUAUUUUAUAUAGAAAAUGAUAUUGAUACAGGCUGAUAUCACUUUAUUUAAUUACAUGAAAAUCCAUAUUUAUUUUAUUUUGUUUGAUUUUGUUUAAGCACACGUUGAAAUGCAGAUAGUUGAACUUCAGUUUCCAGCUUUUCUCUCGGCUGACGCUCUGCAGCGCCUCCUGCUGGCAGUUUCAAACCAGAUCCUCGGAUCAGAUCCUGCUGCGGUUGUUUUCCGAGGUUUGUUUGUCCUCGGUGGAGAUCUGCCUACAGGAUCUGGUUUAGUUUCAUCUUCCUGUUGGUUUGACUUUGUGUGAAAUCUGUGUGAGCGGGUUUCAUCUCUGAUCUGUUUGCACGUGAUUGUUGAUUUGUAUCAAUGCCUCUGAAUUUGUACAUACUUCCUUUGGUAAAAGUUUUAUAUAAAUGGAGACAUGGACUAAAAA
Oreochromis niloticus (Nile tilapia) is the source of this 6143-nucleotide RNA transcript. It is a transcript of the gene named solute carrier family 35 member 2, with no coding region annotated. The record is from RefSeq and is a predicted model, not a curated record. Lineage: Eukaryota; Metazoa; Chordata; Actinopteri; Cichliformes; Cichlidae. The transcript is spliced from 6 exons.